GUUGGAAUGCAGAAAAUACCCAUCACAUGUUCUCCCAUCAUUCCAGAGCAAGGACAACUGAAAAGGCUCCCAGAAGCAUAUGCCCCUCCCUUAAAUCAUCUUCUGGGAAAGGAUGAAGAUAAAGUGAGGUAUGAGGCAUAUAUGGUUCUCUGUGGUGCGUCAUUUUAAGAAACUCCAAAGUCUGCUUCUCAGAGUGAAAUACUAUAUUCCACAUAUGACUCAUGGGGUAGAAAUUUACUUGAAUGCAGAAAAUACCCAUCAAAUUUUCUUCCAUUGUACCAGGUAGGUGGGUUCAUCUCAUUCAAGUUCUCUGCAGCAGAGUUUUGGGGUUUAUGAGAGAGGCUGAGAUUAUGUCUUAAACUUAGUUAUAAAGAGGAAACAGACAUCUGAGGGUCCAGACCUCUGGGCCAGGGAUGGCUAAGAAACUGAAGGAAGACAGUGAGUCAUAAUGCUUCUGUACCACCCUCCUAGUGACCAACAGCAAGGUCACUGAGAUCUGGGGAAAGCAACUAGUGAUUUCUAGAAGUAUUUAUAUGUGGUCACUUACUCUACAAGGAUUCAUUGACAACCUACUAAGAGCAGGCAUUGCACCAGGAGCUGAGGGAUUUAGGGGGAAGAAAGCAGUCUCUAUCCUGAAAGAGCUUGAAGCACAGACAACUCUACUUGAGUCAGCUUACUAAGGGAAUUUAUUCAUCUGCUCUGUAGCUCUGUGUAGAAGGGGCAUGUCUGAAAGUUUCAUGAUAAUGGGAAUAGGAGUUGCAAAGUUGAGGAAGAAAAAGAGGAAACAAGGCAAUUCCAAGCUACAAAGUAAAAAUAAAAUCCACCAGGGGUGUUGCAUUCCAUGUGUUACAUAGAUCAUUUCCAGUCUUACAAUAGACAGGCAAGAAGUGGCAUUACAAAGCUCUUUUCCUCAUUUCACAGAUGAGUUACAUGUGGCAGGUGAGGGUAAUUUUUUGUGCAAAGUCACAAAAAAGAAUUGGGAUGGAAUGCCAUGCAGGCUUGAUGUGAAAUUCUUGGUCUUUUAAAUUCCUG
Molecule: long non-coding RNA, 1032 nt
Filed under: Heterocephalus glaber (naked mole-rat)
Lineage: Eukaryota; Metazoa; Chordata; Mammalia; Rodentia; Bathyergidae
Description: lncRNA (ENSHGLG00100050655.1)
Source: RNAcentral